AGCGAACGCUGGCGGCAGGCCUAAACAUGCAAGUCGAACGCCUGUAGCAAUACAGGAGUGGCAGACGGGUGAGUAACACGUGGGAACGUACCCUUUGGUUCGGAACAACACAGGGAAACUUGUGCUAAUACCGGAUAAGCCCUUACGGGGAAAGAUUUAUCGCCAGAGGAUCGGCCCGCGUCUGAUUAGCUUGUUGGUGAGGUAACGGCUCACCAAGGCUACGAUCAGUAGCUGGUCNGAGAGGAUGAUCAGCCACACUGGGACUGAGACACGGCCCAGACUCCUACGGGAGGCAGCAGUUAGGAAUCUUGGACAAUGGGCGCAAGCCUGAUCCAGCCAUGCCGCGUGAGUGAUGAAGGCCUUAGGGUUGUAAAGCUCUUUUACCCGGGAUGAUAAUGACAGUACCGGGAGAAUAAGCUCCGGCUAACUCCGUGCCAGCCGCCGCCGUAAG
Molecule: ribosomal RNA, 451 nt
Filed under: uncultured bacterium
Lineage: Bacteria
Description: bacterial SSU rRNA
Rfam family: Bacterial small subunit ribosomal RNA
Source: RNAcentral